AAGUGGUGCGACGAACCAGAGCUUGCUCUGGGCAAAGCCGCGAACGGGUGAGUAACACGUGGGUAAUCACCCCGAUGACCGGGACAACCCGAGGAAACUCGGGCUAAUACCGGAUGUGGUGUACUGGCAUAAGCCGGUCACUAAGGUAGCUUCGGCUUCCGCAUUGGGACGGGCCGCGGCCCAUUAGCUUGUUGGUGGGGUCAAGGCCUACCAAGGCAACGAUGGGUAGCUGGUCUGAGAGGACGAUCAGCCACACUGGGACUGAGACACGGCCCAGACUCC
This 282-nucleotide ribosomal RNA is filed under the name unidentified marine bacterioplankton. RNAcentral's name for it is "partial 16S ribosomal RNA". It matches the Rfam family "Bacterial small subunit ribosomal RNA", at positions 59 to 339 of the family's 1533-position model. The record is from RNAcentral.